UACGAAGGAUUCGAGCGUUAUCCGGAUUUAUUGGGUUUAAAGGGUGCGUAGGUGGACUAAUAAGUCAGUGGUGAAAGCCCGCAGCUUAACUGCGGAACUGCCAUUGAUACUGUUAGUCUUGAGUACAGUUGAGGUGGGCGGAAUGUGUCAUGUAGCGGUGAAAUGCUUAGAUAUGACACAGAACACCGAUUGCGAAGGCAGCUCACUAAGCUGUAACUGACACUGAGGCACGAAAGUGUGGGUAGCAAACGGG
RNAcentral lists this ribosomal RNA (253 nucleotides) under uncultured bacterium. RNAcentral describes it as "partial 16S ribosomal RNA". It matches the Rfam family "Bacterial small subunit ribosomal RNA", at positions 524 to 776 of the family's 1533-position model. The record is from RNAcentral.